GAUGAACGCUGGCGGCGUGCCUAAUACAUGCAAGUCGAACGCUUCACUUCGGUGAAGAGUGGCGAACGGGUGAGUAAUACAUAAGUAACCUGGCAUCUACAGGGGGAUAACUGAUGGAAACGUCAGCUAAGACCGCAUAGGUGUAGAGAUCGCAUGAACUCUAUAUGAAAAGUGCUACGGGACUGGUAGAUGAUGGACUUAUGGCGCAUUAGCUUGUUGGUAGGGUAACGGCCUACCAAGGCGACGAUGCGUAGCCGACCUGAGAGGGUGACCGGCCACACUGGGACUGAGACACGGCCCAGACUCCUACGGGAGGCAGCAGUAGGGAAUUUUCGGCAAUGGGGGAAACCCUGACCGAGCAACGCCGCGUGAAGGAAGAAGUAAUUCGUUAUGUAAACUUCUGUCAUAGAGGAAGAACGGUGGAUAUAGGGAAUGAUAUCAAAGUGACGGUACUCUAUAAGAAAGCCACGGCUAACUACGUG
Molecule: ribosomal RNA, 482 nt
Filed under: uncultured bacterium
Lineage: Bacteria
Description: partial 16S ribosomal RNA
Rfam family: Bacterial small subunit ribosomal RNA
Source: RNAcentral